GACGAACGCUGGCGGCGUGCUUAACACAUGCAAGUCGAACGGAAAGGCCCUGCUUUUGUGGGGUGCUCGUGUGGCGAACGGGUGAGUAACACGUGAGUAACCUGCCCUUGACUUUGGGAUAACUUCAGGAAACUGGGGAUAAUACCGGAUAGGAGCUCCUGCUGCUUGGUGGGGGUUGGAAAGUUUCGGCGGUUGGGGAUGGACUGGCGGCUUAUCAGCUUGUUGGUGGGGUAGUGGCUUACCAAGGCAUUGACGGGUAGCCGGCCUGAGAGGGUGACCGGCCACAUUGGGACUGGGAUACGGCCCAGACUCCUACGGGAGGCAGCAGUGGGGAAUAUUGCACAAGGGGCGGAAGCCGGAUGCAGCAACGCCGCGUGCGGGAUGACGGCCUUCGGUUGGUAAACCGCUUUGGCCGGUACCGAAGCGUGAGUGACGGUAAUGGGUAAAGAAGCACCGGCUAACUACGUG
Molecule: ribosomal RNA, 468 nt
Filed under: uncultured bacterium
Lineage: Bacteria
Description: partial 16S ribosomal RNA
Rfam family: Bacterial small subunit ribosomal RNA
Source: RNAcentral